GAGGAAUUACUACAUACACUGCUAGACGGAUAGCUUGGUUUGAAUUGCGAUGAAGGACGUGGCAAGCUGCGAUAAGCUUGGGGUAGCCGCAUGCGGGCUUUGAACCCAAGAUUUCCGAAUUCGACAACGUUCUAGUAAUAGAAUAUAGAGAUAUAAGCAUACGCUGGGAACUGAAACAUCUUAGUACCAGCAGGAAGAGAAAAUAAAAAUGAUUCCCCCAUUAGCAGCGAGCGAAAAGGGAUCAGGGCAAACCGAAUCUCCUUUUGAAAAGAAGGUAGAGAUGUGGUGGAAGUUAAGGCUAAGUCAUGGAGAGAAAGUUUUCUGGAAUGAAGCACUUUAAAGGGUGAUAGUCCCGUACUCUAACGUGAUAUGCUAUAUUCCAAAAGAGUAGGGCCCCCUAGAUAGGAGGUCUGAAGACGGCAGGAUUAACUGCCAACCCUAAAUAUAAAUUCAAGUCCGAUAGCGAACUUAGUACCGCGAGGGAAAGCUGAAAAGCACUCUUAAUAGAGGGUUAAAAGACUUGAAAUCUAGCAGUUACAGCUGGCUACAGCAUUAAGGUGUUGUAGCGUACGUUUUGAAAAACAGGCCACGGAGUAUUCGCAUGUGGCGAGGUUAAUUUAUGAAGCCGUAGCGAAAGCGAGUUCGAAAGAGCGUUAGUCACAUGCGCAUGACCCGAAGCCAGAUGAUCUACUCGUGGGCAGAACGAAGUUCUCCGAAAGGAGAAUGGAGGUUCGAACCAGUAUUGUGCACAUGCAUUUGGAUGAUCUGCGAGUGGGGGUGAAAAGCCUAUCUAAUCUGGCGAUGGCUGGUUCCUGUCGAAAUAUGCCUAAGUAUAGUCUCGUUUGAGCUUGUCAGCGGGGUAAAGCACGGAUGGAACUUGCAGAGCCUAUAUGGCUACGGAGUUCGAUUCCAACUCUGAACUUGCUGACUGUAAUCAACGGGAAUGGCGGGCAGUGCGUAAGGUACUGUUCGAAGACCCGAACAAGGGAGACUGGAGUUAAGGUCCCAAAAUAUGUGUUAAGUGUAACAAACCUAGUUUUAAACCUGAGACAGUAGGGAUGUAGGCUUAGAAGCAGCCACCAUUUAAAGAAAGCGUAACAGCUCACCUAUCGAGGUUUGAAGCAGGGAAAAUGGACAGGGCUAAACACAUUACCGACACUCCAGAGGCACUCGCAAGAGUGUUCUGGUAGGCAGGCGUACUUUUUGCGUAGAAGUAUUUUCGAAAGAAAGUAUGGAGCGAAAAGUAAUGAGUAUCGUGGUGCUAGUAAGAUCAGAUUAUCCUGAGAACGGAUAGCGUCGAAAGAGCAAGGUUUCCUUGGCACUAUUGUUUAACCAAGGGUUAGUCGGCUCCUAAGUCAACUCUUAACUGCGGUUGGCGAUUGGACAUCUGGUUAAUAUUCCAGAACUUUCUAUGUAUUACAUUGCACGAUGUGCUUGGGGAUAAGCGGAGGUUCGAGAGAACUUCUAGGCAAGAAAAUUAGGGAGCGUAAUGCUUUAAUCUAGUUGAAUUGUUUGGAUAAAUUUGCUGACUCCUAGAGUCCUUGAAAAAUUUGUGUACUUUACAUAGAAGCCGUACCAAGAACUGACACUGGUGCUCUAGCUGAAAAGGCUAAGACGUGAAAGGUAUAACCUGGUUAAGGGAACUCGGCAUAUUGGCCCCCUAGCUUCGGUAGAAGGGGUGUCUAUGGAUGUCUUUGAUUUAUCGAAGGCGUUUGUAGAUCUCAGUAACAAGGACCGUCCGACUGUUUAUCAAAAACGUAGCCGAUUGCCAAUCUGAAAGGAUUUAUAUAAUCGGUGAGUCCUGCCCAGUCGCGGUGUUUCAAACCCUCGUUCAAGAGGGCUAAGACCCGUGAAACGGCGGGCCUAACUAUGAGGCUCUUAAGGUUGAAUAGAAAACUAAACUGCCUUACGAGAUUAAGAAAUAAAUUAAAAUAAAAAUUAAUUUUGCUCAAGCUUCAUAGACAGGCAAAAUAAACAAAAAGACAUAUUUGAAAAUUGAAAUAAACAUAUGCGAGAUCCAUGAGAAAAUCUAACUAUAUGCUGGAACAUCUGAGAAUGUCACUUUACGACGACAACUUAAUUUUUAAAGUUUGUUGGCGUGAAAAUAAGAUGACUGCAGACAACCAAGCAGGAAAGAUUCAAUAUAAUCAGCUUUCUAAUGAGAUUGAAAAAUCUUAUUUAUUUGGAGUUUAUUUAGGAGAUGGCUGUUGCUUUAAAUCAAAAAGCUAUGGCUUUUGUAUAGUCUCUGGAGAUAAAGAUGUAAUCGAAAAAACAUGCUUUAUUGUAAAUAAAUUAUUCAAUAAAAAAGGAUUUUUAAAAGAAAUAAUACCAAAUAAAACUAUACUUUAUAAAUACAGAGUUUAUGGAAAAAGUUUAUUUGAAUGUUUAACUCUUCAAACAAAUAAUAAAUCUAAGAUUCCUGAAUUUGUUACAAACUCAGAAAAAGAGAUAUUUUCUGCAUUUGUAGCAGGUUUAAUGGAUACGGAUGGAUACAUAAGCACUGGAACUAACAAGUUCGGUUGGCAAAGAUUUUCUUUAGGGUUUAUUAAUUCUGGAGACUGGAUUGAUGAUUUUAUUUCGUUGUUGCGAAAUUUCGGAGUAAAGGUUGGUAAAAAGACCUUGAAAAAGAAAUAUAGAAGUAUUAAUGAAAAAGAUUGUUUUCAGAUAAAUAUAAAUUUAAGAAGCUUUGUUGAAAAUGGUUUUUAUUUCAAUUGUCGUAGAAAACAGAAUUUACUCGAAAAAUAUAAGGUAAAUGUAAGAUAUCAGUCGUAUUGAAAAUCCUCAGAGAACAUACGUUAGACGUAACAACAAGGAAAGUUUGUAAGAAAACCUUGGUUUGCUUACGAAGAUAUGUUCCGAUCUUUUUCGCGAGAAAAAGAAGUUGUGAAAAAUACAACUUUUAUUUUAGUAUACAAAUUUUUAAAUACUCUUAAUUUAAGGAUUAAGAAUGACUGAAUAUAAUUGCAGAAUUGAAGUUCGAAGAAUUGCAUCUGAAGCGCAUAGCACUUAUGAGGUUAAAACAACUGGCAGUGCGCCAGUUAUGUUGUUGAUACCAAUGAGUGCUUUACAAGAGAAGACUUUAGAAGCUGCAAGAAAUUCAGGAACUUCGGUAACACUCGAUGUAAAAAUCAAUUUACCAGAAUGAGCGUAAUGCCUUGUCAUCUGAAUGGUGACGUGCAUGAAUGGAUCAACGUGAUGGUCACUGUCCCUAACCAGAACCUUCUGAACUCACUUACCGGUGAAAAUGCCGGUGACGCCUAGUGGGAAGCGGAGACCUUGUAGACCUUUACUGCAACUUGUUGUUGUAGCUUUAAGGGGAAUGCAUAGCGUAGGUAGGAGCUUAGAACCUUAGCUUCGGCGAAAGGGGAGCAACCAUGUAACACUACUUAUUUUCCUUAAAGCUGCUUACUCGAGAGAGGACACCAGCAGGCGGGCAGUUUGGCUGGGGCGGCACCCUACAGAAAAGAUAUCUGUAGGGCCUAAUGGUAAACUCAUCCAGGUUGGAAAUCUGGAGUUGAGUGCGAAGGCAAAAGUUUACCUGACUGUAUCUUGCACAGCAAAAGAUGCAGAGAUGAAAGUCGGGCUUAGCGACCCCUCAUGGUCUUUUACUAGGACCUGAGUGUGGCAGAAAAGGUACCUCAAGGAUAACAGGCUUGUCGCGCCCGAUAGUCCAUAUUGACGGCGCGGUUUGGUACAUCGCUGUCGGCUCUUCCUAUCCUGGUUGUGCAUUAGCAACCAAGGGUGUCGGAGUUCACGCAUUAAAAGGGAUCGUUAGCUGGGUUAAAUACGUCGAAAGACAAUCCAGUCUAAUUAGAGAACCAAACCAAGAAUUAGCAAGCAAACAUAAAACGUUAUGACAAAUGUAAAUCUCAAUGGAAAACACAUAGUUUAGAUUACAAGUAAUUAGCUUUAACAUCGCUUAUCAAAGUAGAUGUAUAAGAUAAUUAUUUCAGUUUAAACAUAAUAACACAAACAAGAACGCAAACCACGAAAAACAAACAAUAAUUCACAUCGCGGCGUAGCAUGAAAGCAAUUUCAUGAAAAAUAAAAUUCGCUCAUAUCGGUGAAGUCUUCUUAUUCAAUACUGUAAUAAGAUGGUAACCCCGAGGGAAGUCGUUUUAACUAGCCCUAAGCAGAAAUGCAAGGGAGAGUUUGUAAGAGAACCGUAAGGUUCGCUUAGAAUUGACCCCGUAGAGACUUUAGGAUUAAAUUCCUAAGACUUAUCUUUUACAAAGAUAGGUAAAACGCGAAUCCCCUCAUUCAAGGGUUAGAUUAAGUAGUUAGCUCGUACAUCGCUUAUCAAAGUAGGCGUAUAAGAUAAUUAUUUCGGUUUAAACAUUGACAAGGGUGAAGGUAUAGUCCAUACAAAACAAAUAAAUAAGUUUUGAGUAUAUACGCGAGACAGUAUGUAUGAUAUCUACUAGGCGCGCUGUUGUCUGAGUGGAACGAUUAUCUAGUACGAGAGGAACGGUAAUCGGAUGCCUCUGGUAUAGCGGUUGUUAUGAGCAGGCCGCGCAGCUACGCAUUUACGGAUAAGCACUGAAAGCAUCUAAGUGCGAAGCCGUCCGCAAGACGAGACAACUAAGGCCGUCAAAGAAGAUGACGUUGAUAGAGAUGAUGUGUACGCCCCGAGAAAACGAGGGGUUCAGCAUGCAUCUACUAAAAGCCUCAUAAUAAUUUUAA
RNAcentral lists this ribosomal RNA (4683 nucleotides) under Candidatus Pacearchaeota archaeon. RNAcentral's name for it is "23S ribosomal RNA". It matches the Rfam family "Archaeal large subunit ribosomal RNA". The record is from RNAcentral. Lineage: Archaea; Nanobdellati.